UCACAGUUGUCAUAGUCUGCAAGUGGUCAAGGAAAUUGACUAGAAAUCAAUUAGGGUUUUCCCGUGUAGGUUCAAGUCCUGCCAUUGUUAC
RNAcentral lists this transfer RNA (91 nucleotides) under Cronartium quercuum f. sp. banksianae CqE3WM. Its description in RNAcentral is "tRNA-Ser (AGA) (tRNA-Ser-AGA-6-1)". It matches the Rfam family "tRNA". Rfam says of the family: Transfer RNA (tRNA) molecules are approximately 80 nucleotides in length. The record is from RNAcentral. Lineage: Eukaryota; Fungi; Basidiomycota; Pucciniomycetes; Pucciniales; Coleosporiaceae.